GCCGGGGUGGCGGAACUGGCAGACGCACUGGACUCAAAAUCCAGCGAUCAUUGCGAUCGUAUCGGUUCGAUUCCGAUCCUCGGCACCA
RNAcentral lists this transfer RNA (88 nucleotides) under Kamagatella elastica. RNAcentral's name for it is "Gottschalkiaceae bacterium SANA tRNA-Leu". It matches the Rfam family "tRNA". Rfam says of the family: Transfer RNA (tRNA) molecules are approximately 80 nucleotides in length. Their secondary structure includes four short double-helical elements and three loops (D, anti-codon, and T loops). The record is from RNAcentral. Lineage: Bacteria; Bacillati; Bacillota; Tissierellia; Tissierellales; Kamagatellaceae.